Molecule: long non-coding RNA, 430 nt
Filed under: Vulpes vulpes (red fox)
Lineage: Eukaryota; Metazoa; Chordata; Mammalia; Carnivora; Canidae
Description: lncRNA (ENSVVUG00000010506.1)
Source: RNAcentral
AUGGCUACAGAUGGACUUGGGAGAAGCAAAACGGAGGAGGAUCAAGGCUGUGAAACUUUGUUUGAUGCCUGUUUCUUCGCAGUUCCUAAAACCAGCCCAUCCUUUAGGAAGACAGAAAAGAAAACCAUUCUGCUAGGACUGCACAGUUCAGGAAGGUCUCUCCUGUCUUACAAAACAAAAAAGCUCAAAAUCACAAAUUUGAGCGCAACAAUGGACCAACUCCCCAGGAGCACUUAUUAGAACUCCCAUAUUAGGGGCACCUGUGGGUUGAGGUCUGCCUUUGUCUCAGGUCUUGAUCCCAGGGUCCUGGGAUAUAGUUCUGCAUCAGGCUCCCUGCAGGGAGACUGCCUCUCCCUCUGCCUAUGUCUCUGCCUCUCUCUCUCUGUCUUCCAUGAAUAAAUAAAUAAAAUCUUUAAAAAUAAAAAUAAAA